Molecule: non-coding RNA, 58 nt
Organism: Salmo salar (Atlantic salmon)
Lineage: Eukaryota; Metazoa; Chordata; Actinopteri; Salmoniformes; Salmonidae
Source: Rfam
UGGCUUAGUUGGUAGAGCAUGGUGUUUGCAACGCCAGGGUUGUGGGUUCGAUUCCCAU